This 253-nucleotide ribosomal RNA is filed under the name uncultured bacterium. RNAcentral's name for it is "partial 16S ribosomal RNA". It matches the Rfam family "Bacterial small subunit ribosomal RNA", at positions 524 to 776 of the family's 1533-position model. The record is from RNAcentral.
UACAGAGGUCUCGAGCGUUAGGCGGAAUCACUGGGCUUAAAGCGUGUGUAGGCGGAUCGUUAAGUACCUUGUGAAAUCCCACGGCUUAACCGUGGAACUGCUUGGUAUACUGGCGGUCUUGAGCCAGCUAGGGGCUACCGGCACAAAUGGUGGAGCGGUGAAAUGCGUAGAUAUCAUUUGGAACGCCAAUGGUGAAAACAGGUAGCUGGGGCUGUGCUGACGCUGAGACACGAAAGCCAGGGGAGCAAACGGG